UACGGAGGGGGCUAGCGUUGUUCGGAAUUACUGGGCGUAAAGCGCACGUAGGCGGCUUUGUAAGUUAGAGGUGAAAGCCCAGGGCUCAACCCUGGAAUUGCCUUUAAGACUGCAUCGCUUGAACAUCGGAGAGGUAAGUGGAAUUCCGAGUGUAGAGGUGAAAUUCGUAGAUAUUCGGAAGAACACCAGUGGCGAAGGCGACUUGCUGGACGAUUGUUGACGCUGAGGUGCGAAAGCGUGGGGAGCAAACAGG
This 253-nucleotide ribosomal RNA is filed under the name uncultured bacterium. RNAcentral describes it as "partial 16S ribosomal RNA". It matches the Rfam family "Bacterial small subunit ribosomal RNA", at positions 524 to 776 of the family's 1533-position model. The record is from RNAcentral.